UGGGGAAUAUUGCACAAUGGGCGAAAGCCUGAUGCAGCAACGCCGCGUGAGUGAUGAAGGCCUUCGGGUUGUAAAGCUCUGUCUUUUGGGACGAUAAUGACGGUACCAAAGGAGGAAGCCACGGCUAACUACGUGCCAGCAGCCGCGGUAAUACGUAGGUGGCAAGCGUUGUCCGGAUUUACUGGGCGUAAAGGAUGCGUAGGCGGAUUUUUAAGUGAGAUGUGAAAACCCUAAGCUUAACUUGGGGACUGCAUUUCAUACUGGAAAUCUAGAGUGCGGGAGAGGAGAAUGGAAUUCCUAGUGUAGCGGUGAAAUGCGUAGAGAUUAGGAAGAACACCAGUGGCGAAGGCGAUUCUCUGGACCGUAACUGACGCUGAGGCAUGAAAGCGUGGGUNGCAAACAGGAUUAGAUACCCUGGUAGUCCACGCCGUAAACGAUGAGUACUAGGUGUAGGAGGUAUCGACCCCUUCUGUGCCGCAGUUAACACAAUAAGUACUCCGCCUGGGAAGUACGAUCGCAAGAUUAAAAC
RNAcentral lists this ribosomal RNA (529 nucleotides) under uncultured bacterium. RNAcentral describes it as "partial 16S ribosomal RNA". It matches the Rfam family "Bacterial small subunit ribosomal RNA", at positions 355 to 900 of the family's 1533-position model. The record is from RNAcentral.